This is a long non-coding RNA of Helianthus annuus (common sunflower), 329 nucleotides long. RefSeq lists it as uncharacterized. The record is from RefSeq and is a predicted model, not a curated record. The transcript is spliced from 3 exons. NCBI's taxonomy places the organism in Eukaryota, Viridiplantae, Streptophyta, Magnoliopsida, Asterales, Asteraceae.
UUCUUUUACUUAUAUAUUUCUCCCAUUUUUUAUAUAUUUUACAACUAUCAAGUUAAUUCUUUAAUUUUUGUUUUUUAGACACCAUCAGAUUUACGUCACGUUAUGGGGUUGUUAUGCUGAUCAGAUUUUAGAUUUUGAGAAGAACAAUAAGGAUGAAAAGAAUGUUGUGGUUGUUGUUCAGUUUGGGAAGUACAGAUUUUGGGGAGGUAAUUUGUUUGUCUCCAAUUUGUAUAAUGUAACUCGAGUCUUGAUAAACUCUGAGGUGAAAGAGAUUUUGGAUUUCAAGAAAAGAUUUAUCGAGAAACUUUCUCCCGAAAUUUAUUCCAGUU